Molecule: ribosomal RNA, 253 nt
Filed under: uncultured bacterium
Lineage: Bacteria
Description: partial 16S ribosomal RNA
Rfam family: Bacterial small subunit ribosomal RNA
Source: RNAcentral
UACGAAGGGGGCUAGCGUUGCUCGGAAUCACUGGGCGUAAAGGGUGCGUAGGCGGGUUUUUAAGUCAGGGGUGAAAUCCUGGAGCUCAACUCCAGAACUGCCUUUGAUACUGAAGAUCUUGAGGUCGGGAGAGGUGAGUGGAACUGCGAGUGUAGAGGUGAAAUUCGUAGAUAUUCGCAAGAACACCAGUGGCGAAGGCGGCUCACUGGCCCGAUACUGACGCUGAGGCACGAAAGCGUGGGGAGCAAACAGG